Molecule: long non-coding RNA, 1214 nt
Filed under: Bos grunniens (domestic yak)
Lineage: Eukaryota; Metazoa; Chordata; Mammalia; Artiodactyla; Bovidae
Description: lncRNA (ENSBGRG00000024163.1)
Source: RNAcentral
UCACAUCUUUCCCUGCGCAGUUUCUGCCAGAGGCAAUGAUCAGUAGCGAAGAGUAGCCAACGCAGGGCUCGAAGUGCUUUGGAAGGCCACGACUGCUGGCUGAGGCAACCCAGGAUCUGACAGAAGAGCUGGCAGGUGCCUGAAACACACACAGUGGAUUACCUUCCCUUUCCCAAAAUAAAUGCAAUGCUGAUCAGCAUUUCUCUUGGAAUAACCAUGAAACUGGACCCAUGAACAUGUCACCAAAUAUCUAUCUCGAGAGAAUCCAAGUUACACAACCUGCAUCACCCUGCAAGGCUCAGUCACGUACACAUUCAUGGCAAACUUUUGGAAGAACUUCAGCAGCUGCUUGUCCUAAAGAGCCAAACACAAAAUUCCUGGGCAGCUUCUCAUGACCACUCUUUUGAAGGUCACACAGAGUUUCUGUUAUGAAUGAAGAAUUUCAUGCAACUUUGUUGGGAAUGGCAGGGGUACAGACACGAGCCAACCCUACUUUCGCUGUAAGAUUUGAUUUCCAUGUACAGUCACCUUUUUAGAAAGAAAACCUUUCACGAAUUAAUUAUAAAAAAAAUUGCCACCAAACAGUUUAGGUGAAUGUACAGUUAGUGAAUAUGGUCACAGUUUUAACCACUUCAAAAAGGGGUAGAAUAUUAAAAUAUUUUCUGUGGAAAUAGUUCUAAUAAAUGAUGCAUACACUGAUUUUCCCAUUCACCUUUUGUUUAUUGUUUUGGUUUUGUUUACAGAUGGAUACAUCCCAGUUAUGAUAACUGUUUCACAUAUUUAAUUUUUAAGGAAUUUCUCCUCCUUAUCUUUAGUCAAAGACUUUUCCAAACAAACACCACAAAUUGAAUAUAUUAAAAACAGUGCAGAUUUAAUCAUAACAAGGUAAAUAAAAAGAAACUAUAAUCCAGUAUAAUUGAGUAAAAAUUAGAUACAAAGUUAGGAUAUACUCCUAUAAAAUGAAAUCUCAAAGGGAGGGGGAUAAAUUGGGAGAUUGGAGUAGGAUGGAGACAAAGCCCUUGCAAACAUCUGACGACACGUUCCAGGGUCUUUGUGAGUUCUUCUGUAAUGAGCAAGUGAGAUAUAAUCUGACCCGUGCAGGUAUACUAUUCAAGUAUAUUGGAUUCAAUAAGUAAAUUAGUAUGAUCUCAUUUUUGUUCAACCGAUUCUCUCUCUAAAGUUCUUCAAAACCUGAUGUAGAACCUAUCUGGGCU